GCCUGCUUAGCAUAGUGGCUAAUGCGUUGCACUUGUAUAACGACCUAGCCCCUUAAGGGAUUGGGUAACGACGACAUGCAAAGAUCACAGGUUCGAUUCCUGUAGUAGGCA
Neurospora sp. IMI 360204 is the source of this 111-nucleotide non-coding RNA. The record is from the annotation of a GenBank genome assembly. NCBI's taxonomy places the organism in Eukaryota, Fungi, Ascomycota, Sordariomycetes, Sordariales, Sordariaceae.